GGAUAAAAUGACUGAUAAUAGGUAGUAAAUUGUAAAUUUAUUUAUAGAUUUUAUAAUCUUUUUAUCAA
This 68-nucleotide transfer RNA is filed under the name Nurudea shiraii. RNAcentral's name for it is "tRNA-Tyr". RNAcentral also lists the same sequence under 1 other name. Lineage: Eukaryota; Metazoa; Arthropoda; Insecta; Hemiptera; Aphididae. The record is from RNAcentral.